GGAAUAUUGGACAAUGGGCGAAAGCCUGAUCCAGCAAUGCCGCGUGAGUGAUGAAGGCCUUAGGGUUGUAAAGCUCUUUUACCCGGGAUGAUACUGACAGUACCGGGAGAAUAAGCUCCGGCUAACUACGUGCCAGCAGCCGCGGGAAUACGGAGGGAGCUAGCGUUGUUCGGAAUUACUGGGCGUAAAGCGCACGUAGGCGGCUUUGUAAGUUAGAGGUGAAAGCCCGGAGCUCAACUCCGGAAUUGCCUUUAAGACUGCAUCGCUCGAAUCAUGGAGAGGUGAGUGGAAUUCCGAGUGUAGAGGUGAAAUUCGUAGAUAUUCGGAAGAACACCAGUGGCGAAGGCGACUCACUGGACAUGUAUUGACGCUGAGGUGCGAAAGCGUGGGGAGCCAAC
This 398-nucleotide ribosomal RNA is filed under the name uncultured bacterium. RNAcentral's name for it is "bacterial SSU rRNA". It matches the Rfam family "Bacterial small subunit ribosomal RNA", at positions 358 to 773 of the family's 1533-position model. The record is from RNAcentral.